CGGGGCUGCAGGCCGCAAGCGGUGGGCCGGGCCUAGGCGCGGGGGCCGCCGGGAGGCCGAGGGCGCCGGGCUGAGGACGGCGGCUCCAUGAGCUGCCAGGUGACGGUGCUGUACUUUGCCAGGAGCGCGGAGCUGGUGGGGCUGCGCUCCGAGAGCGUCUCUGUGCCGCAGCGGAUCACCUCCCUCCAGCUCUGGGAAGAGAUCGUUAAGAUUCAUCCCAGGCUUGCUGUCAUCCGGGAGCAAGUGGUUUUUGCUGUUCGGCAGGAGUACGUGCUUCUUGGAGAUCAACUUCUGGUCCUGCAGACAGGAGACGAAGUUGCAAUCAUCCCACCAAUUAGUGGAGGCUGAAUCUGUGCAAGUUCUGAGAGCCCUUCUAGGGAGCCAUGGUUGAAAGAGAGGAUGUGCCGAAAGAUUUUAUCAAGCUCAAGUCUGAAAAGCUGUCUGUAGAUGAAGUGUCAGAACUGGUCAUUUCACCAUGCUGUGGGGCAGUGUCUCUUUUCAUUGGAGAUUUAUGAGGACAAGUAUUCUUGGAAGGAAAACAAGGAAUGCUUUUGGACAAAUUCAGAAAAAUAACUGUACUCUUUUAUAAAUAAAGUGUUACUGCUCCUAAUGA
Molecule: RNA transcript, 613 nt
Organism: Tympanuchus pallidicinctus (lesser prairie-chicken)
Lineage: Eukaryota; Metazoa; Chordata; Aves; Galliformes; Phasianidae
Gene name: molybdopterin synthase sulfur carrier subunit-like
Exons: 5
Source: RefSeq, a predicted model, not a curated record